ACAUGCAGUAUUGGCACUUAGACUUAAUGUUGAAUGAAGGGGAGGCAUUUUAAAAUUCACAUCAAAAAACUGUUAUUCUUUAAAAAAAAUACUAAUCUACAAGGUCACUUCCCCUCCAAGCAUGACGUCUACCUUUACUUUCUGAUAAUCAUGAUCGGCUUGUGGGGAUCAAGAUUACUCAGGAUUAAAUUCUGGCCCCAUCUUGAGCCGUCAUGGAAACUUGGGGAAGCUACUUAACUUCUCCAUCUAGAUUGAUUCUGCAAAAUCCGUAAAAUGGAAUGGUUUCUGGGGGUUAAAUUAGUAUACCACUGUUGGAAUACUGUCAGGCUUGCCAGAUAUUUACUGUUCAUCUUCAUCAAAUGAGGACAGUGGUAUCCCACUAUAUGGUUUUCAAUUUUGUGUAAGAAAAACGUGCUUUAUGCAUUGUUAGUAAAAGAAAUAUCUGAAUAUCCCUGCCAUGGAAGAAAGAAACAGAGGGAGAAAAGAGAGUUGGACUGGAAAGCUCAGGCAGCCCAGGAUGAAUAAUGCAGUCACCACAGAGGGACAGGGUGGCCACAAGGUG
This is a long non-coding RNA of Homo sapiens (human), 562 nucleotides long. NCBI's taxonomy places the organism in Eukaryota, Metazoa, Chordata, Mammalia, Primates, Hominidae. The record is from Ensembl.